UACGAAGGGGGCUAGCGUUGUUCGGAAUUACUGGGCGUAAAGCGCGCGCAGGCGGUCCUUCAAGUCAGGGGUGAAAGCCCAGGGCUCAACCCUGGAAUGGCCUUUGAGACUAGAGGACUUGGGUACGGGAGAGGUGAGUGGAAUUCCGAGUGUAGAGGUGAAAUUCGUAGAGAUCGGCAGGAACACCCAGGGGGAAACCAGUCGACUGGGCAUCAACUGACGCUGAGGUGCGAGAGCGUGGGGAGCGAACCGG
Molecule: ribosomal RNA, 253 nt
Filed under: uncultured bacterium
Lineage: Bacteria
Description: partial 16S ribosomal RNA
Rfam family: Bacterial small subunit ribosomal RNA
Source: RNAcentral